Molecule: ribosomal RNA, 335 nt
Filed under: uncultured eukaryote
Lineage: Eukaryota
Description: partial 18S ribosomal RNA
Rfam family: Eukaryotic small subunit ribosomal RNA
Source: RNAcentral
CCCUUAGAUGUUCGGGGCCGCACGCGCGCUACACUGAUGGGGUCAGCGUGUUUGCACGUCCUGGUCCGGCAGGAUUGGGCAAUCCGUUGAACCUCCGUCGUGAUUGGGAUCGGAGCUUGUAAUUAUUCUCCGUGAACGAGGAAUUCCCAGUAAGCGCAAGUCAUCAGCUUGCGUUGAUUACGUCCCUGCCCUUUGUACACACCGCCCGUCGCUACUACCGAUUGGAUGGCUUAGUGAGGGCCUCGGAUUGGUCUCGGCCCGCUCUUUACCGGGCGGCGCCGUUGGUCGAGAAGACGCUCGAACUUGAUCGUUUAGAGGAAGUAAAAGUCGUAACA